UGUGAAGACUAUUGGCUACUGAUGAGUC
RNAcentral lists this non-coding RNA (28 nucleotides) under Mus musculus (house mouse). The record is from RNAcentral. Lineage: Eukaryota; Metazoa; Chordata; Mammalia; Rodentia; Muridae.